AGGCUAGUAGCUCAAUUGGUAGAGCAACGGAUUCCAAAUCCGUAGGUUGGGGGUUCAAGUCCUCUCUGGCCUG
This 73-nucleotide transfer RNA is filed under the name Deltaproteobacteria bacterium. RNAcentral's name for it is "tRNA-Trp". It matches the Rfam family "tRNA". Rfam says of the family: Transfer RNA (tRNA) molecules are approximately 80 nucleotides in length. Their secondary structure includes four short double-helical elements and three loops (D, anti-codon, and T loops). RNAcentral also lists the same sequence under 1 other name. Lineage: Bacteria; Pseudomonadati; Myxococcota; Myxococcia. The record is from RNAcentral.